Molecule: transfer RNA, 76 nt
Filed under: Clostridioides difficile
Lineage: Bacteria; Bacillati; Bacillota; Clostridia; Peptostreptococcales; Peptostreptococcaceae
Description: tRNA-Val
Rfam family: tRNA
About the family: Transfer RNA (tRNA) molecules are approximately 80 nucleotides in length. Their secondary structure includes four short double-helical elements and three loops (D, anti-codon, and T loops).
Source: RNAcentral
GGGACCAUAGCUCAGCUGGGAGAGCACCUGCCUUACAAGCAGGGGGUCACAGGUUCGAGCCCUGUUGGUACCACCA